Molecule: ribosomal RNA, 1100 nt
Filed under: uncultured bacterium
Lineage: Bacteria
Description: bacterial SSU rRNA
Rfam family: Bacterial small subunit ribosomal RNA
Source: RNAcentral
CGAGGGGCAGCAUGAAGUUUGCUUGCAAACUUUGAUGGCGACCGGCGCACGGGUGAGUAACGCGUAUCCAACCUUCCCUAUAGUAGAGAAUAGCCCGGCGAAAGUCGGAUUAAUGCUCUAUGUUAUUCAAAGCGGACAUCUAAUUUGAAUCAAAGGUUCACCGCUAUAGGAUGGGGAUGCGUCUGAUUAGCUUGAUGGCGGGGUAACGGCCCACCAUGGCGACGAUCAGUAGGGGUUCUGAGAGGAAGGUCCCCCACAUUGGAACUGAGACACGGUCCAAACUCCUACGGGAGGCAGCAGUGAGGAAUAUUGGUCAAUGGGCGAGAGCCUGAACCAGCCAAGUAGCGUGCAGGAUGACGGCCCUAUGGGUUGUAAACUGCUUUUAUGCGGGGAUAAAGUCGGCUACGCGUAGCCGUUUGUAGGUACCGCAUGAAUAAGGACCGGCUAAUUCCGUGCCAGCAGCCGCGGUAAUACGGAAGGUCCGGGCGUUAUCCGGAUUUAUUGGGUUUAAAGGGAGCGCAGGCCGGAGGUCAAGCGUGACGUGAAAUGUAGGGGCUCAACCUUUGAAUUGCGUCGCGAACUGGUUUCCUUGAGUGAGUACGACGUCAGCGGAAUUCGUGGUGUAGCGGUAAAAUGCUUAGAUAUCUCGAAAAACCCCCGAUUGCGAAGGCAGCUGACGAGUCCUUUACUGACGCUAAAGCUCGAAGGUGCGGGUAUCGAACAGGAUUAGAUACCCUGGUAGUCCGCACGGUAAACGAUGGAUGCCCGCUGUUUGCGAUAUAUUGUAAGCGNGCCAAGCGAAAGNNCGUUAAGCAUUCCCCACCUGGGGAGUNNACGCCCGGCAACNNGGUNGAAACUCAAAGNNGAAUUGACGGGNNGGCCCGNCACAAGCGNGAGGAACAUGUGGUUUAAUUCGAUGAUACGCGAGGAACCUUACCCGGGCUUGAACUGCAGGAGAACGAUCCAGAGAUGGUGAGGCCCUUCGGGGCUCCUGUGGAGGUGCUGCAUGGUUGUCGUCAGCUCGUGCCGUGAGGUGUCGGCUUAAGUGCCAUAACGAGCGCAACCCCUUUCGCCAGUUGCCAUCAGGUGAUGCUGGGCAC